Small nucleolar RNA from Conger conger (European conger), 93 nucleotides. RefSeq annotates it as small nucleolar SNORD12/SNORD106. The transcript has a single exon. The record is from RefSeq and is a predicted model, not a curated record. Lineage: Eukaryota; Metazoa; Chordata; Actinopteri; Anguilliformes; Congridae.
GCUGUGGUUAAUGAUGUUCAGUCUUUUUUCCCCGUCUUAUCGACCAUGGUGACUUAUUGUUGAAAUUAAGCCAACAUUGUCUGAAACCACAUU